ACACGGAGGGCGCAAGCGUUGCUCGGAAUCACUGGGCGUAAAGCGGGUGUAGGCGGUCUAGCAAGUCAGAUGUGAAAGCCCACGGCUCAACCGUGGAAGUGCAUCUGAAACUGCUAGACUUGAGUGCCGGAGAGGGAAGUGGAAUUCCUGGUGUAGGGGUGAAAUCCGUAGAUAUCAGGAGGAACACCGGUGGCGAAGGCGACUUCCUGGACGGCCACUGACGCUGAGACCCGAAAGCGUGGGGAGCAAACAGGAUUAGAAACCCUUGUAGUCC
RNAcentral lists this ribosomal RNA (274 nucleotides) under uncultured bacterium. Its description in RNAcentral is "partial 16S ribosomal RNA". It matches the Rfam family "Bacterial small subunit ribosomal RNA", at positions 523 to 796 of the family's 1533-position model. The record is from RNAcentral.